Molecule: unclassified non-coding RNA, 314 nt
Filed under: plant metagenome
Description: partial contains 5.8S ribosomal RNA, internal transcribed spacer 2, and large subunit ribosomal RNA
Rfam family: 5.8S ribosomal RNA (bases 1-105)
Source: RNAcentral
GAAAUGCGAUAAUUAAUGUGAAUUGCAGAAUUCAGUGAAUCAUCGAGUCUUUGAACGCACAUUGCGCCCCCUGGUAUUCCGGGGGGCAUGCCUGUCCGAGCGUCAUUGCUGCCCUCAAGCACGGCUUGUGUGUUGGGCUUUCGUCCCUGGCAACGGGGACGGGCCCAAAAGGCAGUGGCGGCACCAUGUCUGGUCCUCGAGCGUAUGGGGCUUUGUCACCCGCUCCCGUAGGUCCAGCUGGCAGCUAGCCUCGCAACCAAUCUUUUUAACCAGGUUGACCUCGGAUCAGGUAGGGAUACCCGCUGAACUUAAGC